GACGAACGCUGGCGGCGUGCCUAAUACAUGCAAGUCGAACGCUGUUGCGAACGGGUGAGUACCGCGUAGGUACCUUCCUCAUCGCGGGGGUUAACUAUUGGAAACGAUAGCUAAUACCGCCUACUGUGAGAUGGACCUGCGUUGUUUUAGCUAGUUGGUGAGGUAAAUGCUCACCAAGGCGACGAUACAUACCCGGCCUGGGAGGGGGAUAGGGAAAAACGGGAAUGGGACAAGGCACAGACUCCUAAGGGAAGGAGGAGUAGGGAAACUUCGGGAAUGGACGGAAGUCUGAACAAGCAACGCCGCGGGAGUGAAGAAGGGUUUCGGAUCGUAAAGCUCUGUUGUUAGAGAAGCGGUAACUAACCAGAAAGGGACGGCUAACUACGUGCCAGCAGCCGCGGUAAUUC
This 407-nucleotide ribosomal RNA is filed under the name uncultured bacterium. RNAcentral describes it as "partial 16S ribosomal RNA". It matches the Rfam family "Bacterial small subunit ribosomal RNA", at positions 28 to 526 of the family's 1533-position model. The record is from RNAcentral.